UUAGAGCUCUCUGCCCUUCACUGGUCCUCCCCAACCCACACCCUUCCUAUGAAAGCAGCUUUCCUUUCAGGGAGACAGCAGUCUCAUCCAUGAAGGCAGCUCACUCUGUGGAGAUGGACUUUAGGGAAUAAGAAAACAUAACGUAGUGAAAUAUUUUCUUCCAUUUAACUAACCACUCAGUUCACUUUAAAGAUAUUUCUAACAUGUAUACAACAAUAGAUGAUUGUGGGAGGGCGUUUAACCCCCCCAACACAAUACAAGUUUUACUUUCUUUUAUUUAAGUAAAAGCUAAUAUAGAAUCUUGUCAGUAGCCAAAUUAUUGCCAAAAAAUCUGAAUGAGGUUAGGAAAAUAUGUUCUGCUGGCUUCAAACCUGGUGGCAUUUUAAUGGGUAGUUAUAUAAUAGUUAUGUGCAUGAAGGUGUAUGCACAUGGGUGUGUGUAUAUUCUUAUGGUGUUAGAAGUUCCUUGAUGGAUUAAAGGUUCAUUUACUCAAGCACUAGAUAGAGACUGUCACUCAUGUGUACAUGCCGGGGGUCUGGCAGAAAGCAGUGCAAAAAAGAGUUUUGAAUGAGCUCCUUGGAAUCACUAUUGUUGAAAUACAAGCUGAAGCAACUUAGUAAUGGUAAAGCUAUUGUGCAUUGCAGAAUCAUCGAAAGACACUUCAAAGUAAAAUUGUCAAUUUUCAGUUUGGUAGCUGCGGCAGGGCAUUUAAACAAAAGGUGAGCAUCAUUUGCUUAAUAUAUUUACUUAAAAAUUCAGCAAUAAGCUACUCUGUUUAUCUUACUUUUCAAUGAAUUGAAAAAUUAAAAGAGACUAGGCUUAGCUAGAGAUGAUAGCAUAAGAGGCUUGCUACCCAUAUCAUCAAGUCUGAUGGGCGCUAUACAUGCUUUUAAUAUUAGAUUGCAGAGCAACUCCUGCUGACAAAGUUCCAAAGACAUGGAAAGCCAUGUGGACAUUUAGAAGUGGACAGAAUGAGGAGAGAUUGUCUGAUUCUGUUUUUUUUUUUUUCCUCUUUCUCAAGAGCCUGAUAGUGAAAUCUUAAAAAUGACAGUUCAUCUUUGGUAUGUCAAAAAAACCCAUUAAUCAAAUGGUAUCAAGUGCCAGUCAUUUAAAUGUGAAGGUGUUAGCAAGGCAGAUAUCCACAUAAAUUAGUAUUGUUAAUUAGUUGCAUCAAUGUACUUAACGAAAAUAUAAACUGAACAACAAUGGGGAUCUAUCUGAUUUAAUUUUCUUUAGCCAUGAACUCAGGUGAAUUUCAGAAGGGCAGAAAUAAUUUAAGGACUAAUUUCCAUUCUAUUGGUUUUUAGAAGGCUAAAAACAAUCAGUUUCUAUAUAAAGCAUAAGAUUAGAGAAUUAAGUAGAUGGAGAAAGACAGACACACUGCCAUAAUAAAAAAAAAAUAUGUAUGAAUUUCAAAUGUAUUUAAUGAAUUAAUUUACCAACUGCAUUUCUCCCCUUGAAACGUUGAAGGUUCACAUUAAAAAUGCAGGACUUCUGUGCAAAAUUUGGAUGAGGCUGUUUAACGUAAUAUUCUGCUUCUUGACCAUAAGAAGUAUCAGCUUGAUAGUUUACCAAGUGUAACAUUUAAACAAAAUUAACACUAGUCUUUUAAUUUUGAAUACAGGAUAGAGAAAGGUGCUUUUCCUAUCUGCCCAUUACAACUGAUAAUAAAUUAAUUAACCUCAUCGAAGAGAUUAUUAUGUGCUUGACUGAGGUAAAUUGAUCGAGAUAAUAUCACUUAAAAUUGUUUACAGCAAAAGUGAAAACAUAAAAGGAUGGGAAUAUUGACUUCAGUGAAAAGUGUCACACUAGGUAUUUUUGACAGGAGCACAGCACCUCACGUGUCAGGGAGAAGUUAAAAAAUUAGUCAAUCUUAUUUCUUUGCAGAGCGUAAGUUAAUAACUUAUUUGUUGGCUCCAAAAGUUAUGUUGCAAAUUUUCAUCUUGUGGGUACUUUGUUGCCAUAUUGACAUACAAUUAGGAAGAUUUUAGGAUUGUGAAAUUUAAGCAGUAGGGGGUAGAGUUAAAAAGAUAUUUUUAUUCGUAGUCUCCAAGACCUAUGCUUAUCUACUCAUUGAUUUUUUUAUAUGAUUUUGGUUAAUUUAAUGGCUUCUAAAUCAUAUACUAUUUUGCUGAAGUCUACUUUGUUCAUAAAUUGAAAACAAAUUCAAAGGCAUCAGAUCUUUUUCCGAAGUGCAAUUGAAUGUUCAGUUAUUGAAGAGCUAUUUAAAUUUCUCAGGUUCUAGUAAAAACAAACACACUUACAAACACCUAAUCUCUUCUUUCUUAGCAGCUCUUAAAAUUGCAACCGGUAUGGCUGAGGAUGAAUAUUUUAUAUAAGAGCCUUUAACUCUCUUCCUAUUUCACCCAGAAAUGCCUUUAAUUUGUCUUUUAUGCUUAUGUACUUUAAAAAGACAUUGGUCAGUAUGCAAGAAUUAUUCACCCCCUUUUAAAAACAGUGAAUAAAAAUUCUAAUUAUAGAGAAGAGGCUUGAUGUUUACUCUGAAGUUUCAGGAACAUAUAAAGUUUUCGUAAUAAACAAGAAGAAACUCUAUCCUAGAUAAAUUUAAAUAGGGCAGCUUGUGGGUAUGGUUUAUAUUCAUGUCCUCUACCUUCUUGCCUUUGGCACCAAAGCAUCUGGGGUUUUGUCCUCACAUACUUUCUAUUGUUAACAGAGUGUUUUUUUGAGGUUAAAAAAAUUUUCAAAUUGUCUUGCCUUUAUAGCUUAAUGCAUUGUUAAACUGAAAGAUCAAAUUGAUUUCUGUGUUCAAAUUCGUAUGUCCAGGCAGUAAUGAAGAGGUGAGGUUCUUUACCCCACCAACACAAAAACAAAAACAACAUUACAUAUAUGAGCUAAAAAGAUUAAAAAACUUAGGAUUCAAUAUGUUGGAAAUACACACAUAUUGUUUUUACAAUGGAGCUCUUAAAGAGAGAUUUUUCAUCUUGACUAUCUACCGAGAUGGGAUACUUCAGUUUUAUAUACAAAUUUCUAGAUUUUAAGCGAACUUUAACAACAUAUCAUCGCAGGCUUAUUAAAGUGAAGGAAGAUUUAAAAGUAAGCCUCCAAAAUAAAAGACACAGAUAAGUGACAGGACAUGAUGGCUGGCCUCAGGUUUUAGGGAUGUUACAAAAGUUUUAUUUUAAAAAUUACAAUAACAUCCUUUUUUCAUCAAGUGUGAAACAAGAUGAUUAUAGGAGAAAAAAAGAAGAAAAAGAUUUCCUCUCAUUCUCCCCCACUAAAAAACCGAAACAACAACAAAAAGCAAAAACAAACCCCAAUCCUAAACCCUACCUAAGAAGCCCCUUACCACUUUGCAGAAAGUUUCUGUGUAACUGUGGGUCCUGCCAAAGCUCCCAGUUGGUCUACUUUUUAAAUGCGGCAGACAGUGGUUAGACUUUAAUCAGCAGCCUGGCAGCCUCGAGUAGGAGGCUGACUUUGGGAGCUCAACUGCAGGUGACCUACCACUUAGAGGUAAACUUUGGAAAGCAACUGAUGAAAGUUACCCUUUCCUUUCCAAAAGAGGUUUUCAGAGGCGGGACAGUGAGAGCCGAUAUAACCAAUUUUAUGAUUUUCUGAGGCAUUCCUAACUUUUACGAUUCCCCCCUCCUUCUUUACUAUCUGUCUUUGUGCCUCCAGGGCCAGGAAAGAGCAGGGCAGAUUCUAGAUUGCUUUCAGAGUUUGCCUUCUCUGAUGAUGGAUUACCAUGUCAAUUUAAACGGCAUAGGAUUAAUUUGUUUCAAUGAUUUCUCUUUAGGCUGAAUGCCAGCCGUUUUUCUAUCUCUCCCCUUGCUCUUCAGAACAACCACCAAAAAAAAAAGAUACUUCUUUCCAUAUUCUAAGUUAGGAGACAAUAAUAGAAAUAGACAAGUUAGGUGUAAUGUUGCAGCACAGUUAUAGGUCUGAGUGUUUUUAUCUCCGCCUAAGAGGCUGAAACAUACAGUCAGUCACAUUAAAAUGAAAUUGAACUCAACGUUUAUUCAAUAAAUACUUGUCUUGUAGAUAAUCCAGUGCCGAGUGCUUUUGACACAUAAGGACUUAAUUUGUCUUGGAUAGCAAGUUAUUAAUAUGGCACAUUUAAACUUGCCACCUACAGUAAGGUUAUUGAGAUCUAUAACAAACUCAAAUGAUCAUUGUGAAAAAUAAUUUGUGUGAGGAAGGGAGACCUUUUGGAGAAUGCGUAUCUUUAUAAUAUAUAUAUCUUUACACACACAUAGUAAAAGCAUGUACAUUUCAGAUCACAUAUGGACAAAAAAGUUCAAUGAAGUUAAAAAAAUUCCAUUUAUUAUGCAGAUGUAUCUAACCUUUCCAAAAUAAGAAUGUAUCAGAGAAUUUUCCCUUUGGAAAGAUUUCUACAGUGCACAAGAAAAAUGCUGUUCAAAUCCUAUUUCUUUGCAAGACCAAACCCACUAUGAGGUUGAAAAUGGCACAAAAAAGCACUUAGGUACAAUCCAAAAUCAAACACCCCCUCCACAUUUUUCACCUACACCAACCUUGCAGCCAGAGAGAGCAUGUUGCCUGUAGAAUAAAGGCAAUUUGAGUGAAAUAAUGUAUUCCUAAAGAGAUUAUUGUAUUUCCUUCUCUAACGGGAGGCCCUCCAGCAGAUGCAAAGGAAGAGGACAGGGGUUUUAUCCUAUGGACUGACUAUGUCGAGUGCUUGUGGAUAUUUAAACCCUGGGCUUUUUUUUCACCCCCUUCUUUUCCUAAUUGCCUCUCCUUUCCCCAGUAUCCCCCUUCAUUGAAAUUAAACAUCACAGUUCAGGAUAAUAAAUUGCAUUCCGAAUAUGAACACAAAUAGGUUUUAUAGCCUGCCCCUUUUCCAAAGCCCCUCACUGCAUAGACGGCCUUCAUUUGAGCAGGUUCUCCUUUCUAAGGACAUAUGCAAUCAGAGGCCAGUGACUGUUAGAACUGGAAUCUAUGCAAUUUUAAUUUGCAAAAAAGUUGUUGGUUGUUAACCUUGGGGGAGAUUGUGCAUCUCUAAGAAACCAAAUCUUUGAGAGCUCUCCCUGGGAAAUGAUGCUACACAUGAGCAGAAAAUCCAGGCAAGAAAGGCUAAUUGAAUGAAGAGAGAGAAUUAGGUUAAAAAAUAGAGUACAAUCUAGUAUCACAUUUUCACCAGUGUAACUUGAAAUGAAGGUGUCUUCAAGUCGCCAGUGAUGCCAGAGUGUUUAGAUGUUGGCCACAGAUGGGAACACCUAUUGAAAUGUGUCUGAAGAAGAUUAAUAGGGCUUGUCACUGUUGGGAAAGCACUGCUUUGCUGUAAAUUUCUACCAGCACAAGAUGAAUUACCGAUGAAUGCUCACUUAUCAACCCCAUCACUAUCGUUCGACACUAAAUCAAAUUGAGAAGUUAUCUACAAUCAGAAAAUUUCUUUUUAAAAUAGACGUACACCUUUAGGCCCCAACUCUUUAAUAAUCCCACUCAAAAAACAAUUCCCCAUCCCCUGAUGCUUCUUUAGCUUAAACAAAUUAGAUUUCAGUAAUGAAGAUAUUUUUAAGUUCAUACACAACGGCCAGCUGGUCAAUAGCAAAGUUUGAUAGUAUUUUAAUGAGGCUAUGAAGGCUUCUUGGAAGUCACCAUUUAAUAUUUCACAAAAUGUGUUUUCUUUACUUUGAGUUAUUUCUGUCCCUUACUUGGAAGGCAGAGAAGAGAGUGGUUUUGCGAUUUUCCUGUUCUAAACCCCAUACCUGUAACCUAAUCAUCAUCUAAUCCUGUGGUAAGAUAAAAUUAUGAGAGACCUGCAAGUUUAGGUAGAGAACAGUAGAUUGGAUUAAAUGGAUGGCAAUAAUAAUCGAGGAAAUGCAUUUAUUCUUUUAUGAUUUAACAAUGUUUCAUAUAUAUAAUUUCUAAGGUGAUUUGUUUGAGAAACCAAACAGUGGCAUCUCUUUUAUUAUCUGUUAACCAACUGAAAGCAUCCAGAGAUUUUCCAACCUAGUAAUAAUAAUGUUUUAAUAAAACAAUCAACCCCUGUGUUUUUAUAGGGCUCUAUCUGUUUAAAAUGAUCUCACAUGCAUAAUUUAUUUGAUUUUUACUGAAAUCCUGCACAGAGAUUUUGAAUUCCCAUUUUGCUGAUGAGUAAACCGAGGCUCAGAGAGUUAUCUGAGAUUAUGGAGCCAAUAGGAGCCCAGUCAGAAUUCAUACCUAGGUCUGCUAGGUUUCUUUCAGGGUCUUUUCACUCCAAGUCCUUAUGUAAAUGAAGAAGAAGAUGAUGAUGAUAGCAAUGGCAGUUAACAUUUACUAUAUACCAGAACUAUGGUAAACAUAUGCAUAUGUUAUUUUAUUUAAUCUCUGUACAACUCUUUGAGGUAGAUACUGUUGUUAUUUUUAUGAUUCAAGAGAAAAAACCCACAAAACAGACUUACAGAGCGUAGGGACUUGCCUGAAACUCACAUUGCUAGUAAGUUGGGGACACGUUAUUCAAAUCCAGGAAGUCUACAUUCAAAGCCACUGUCCUAUUCUAUGUUCCUGUUUCCAAUUGCAAGGAAUCUUCAACUGUACUGAGUAGUCACAAGAAAUCUCACUUAUUUUUGAAAUAUAAAAAUCCUUCCAACUCUGAGGCAGUGUGUCCUAACAGAACAGACCCUAGUUUGGAAAUAACGAGACCUAGGUUUAAAUUCUAGCUUUACUGGUUACUAUGUGAUCACAACUUCUUUGGCCUUUAUUUUCCUCUUCUCUAAAAUGAGGUAGUUGGGUCAAAUGAAGCUAUGGGCAUUGCAUUUUGUGCUUCCUCUGUCAUGAUCUCUAAGAGGAAAGAGAAAAAACAGCCAUCUCUACGGAGGUGAGUGGGGACGAGUGACAUGAGGGACAUGUUGAGAAGGUGUGGCUUGCAUCUCUCAGAGACUGGUACUGGGGACACUCGGCCUUGGACGAGGUCUCCAUUUUCUUCCUCUCUGCCUCCAGAAAGCUGAAUACUUAAGAUAGUGAUGGUACUUUAGAAAACCAUAGAAUCUUAGACUUACAGGAAAAACUUUACCUCCCUUAUUCCCAGAUAAAGCAGAAGAAAACCCUGAAGUCUGGAGAGGUUAGGUGACUUACAUAAUGUCACCCAGCUGAUUGGUGACAGGGUUGAAAGUAGACCCCUUUUCUCUUGGCCCCCAAACCAGAAACCCAACCUACUCCCUCCAAACAUCUCCACCAUGCUCUGCUCCUUACUCAACAAAAAACAUGCUUUAGAUCAUCUGAUCAUGUCCCUAUUAUAGCUAAUUCUCUGUUUUUUUGAUAUAAUACUUUGUGUGGGUUGUUAUUGGUUGUAAUAUGAAAUCUUCCUAAAUCUCUCCCACUAUCAUUUUUCAUAAAGUCUAUUAAGCUAAGCAGCCACACAGUCAAAGCUGCAAUGAAGAAUCACAGAAUAAUAAGAAUAUUCUGUAAUCUCCAUUAGGUCACUAUAAUAUUCCAAUCUGUACUUAUUACAACCCUCCUCUGAUGCUUACACAACCAAAAUUGCUAGAUUUAUAUUCUCUAAUGGUUCCUCAAUGGGAAAAACCUGUGUUUUUUAUCUUUCUUUUCCUGUCCCAAAUCACUCUUCCACAUACAUUGCCUGCUUUGGGAACCCCCGUCUGGGUUUAAUCAGAAGUUGCAAGACAAAAUGUGCAUUAUUAAGAAAUAUAAAUAUUUUCAGAAGCAAUCAAAGGGAUGAAAGAUUGAUUCAGCAUGUAGAUUGAAUCUAAUUCGAAGCAGCUUUGUUCUAAUGAGGGCUACUGGGAUAGAGCAUCCAGAGCUGUCGUGACCACCAGUUGGAAAUUCCAACUCAUUAGAAUAAUCUGUCAGGAUUUCUCUCCCUAGGUAUGCUGAAAUAUUUUCUGCAAGGUGUAUUCUCUCGUCUCUGGGCUGAGCCACCUUUCUUGCCACCCUAAGGGGCUUAUAGUAGUUAUCUUUGAGAAAUUAUGACUAAUUCCUUCUUCCCUUUAGAGUUUAGAUCAGCGAGGUGUACCUCCCUUUUCACAACUCAGAAGUUGGCUUAGCACUAACUUUCGUAAGAACAUUUUGGCCUGGAGGCAUCUGUAUUACAAUUUCUUUCUUGGCUUAAUAAAAGGUAUCACAUUAUCUACCUGGUCAAUCUCUAUUGGCUUUCAAAAUAGAGACAUGGAAAAACCUAAUAAGCCUCAUUAGGAUAUCUGCUUUAAAAACAACAGGCUGCCUCAUUUAGCAUGUUGCUUUGAAAUGUCCCAGCAGAGCUGGGUGGCCAGUGCUGGAAGACAGGUAUUGCUAAUUUGGGAUCUUUGUCAGUGGUAGAAUUUUAAUACACAAGGGAUCAAACCCUGAUUGUUGUAUUUUGUUUUUGUUUUCUUUCUUUCCUUUAAUCCCACUUUUUGUCCACAUGGCCAUGUGUGAGAGAUGGCCUGAUUUUCUUGAUAUGGUUCACUCAUCCACAGCUGGAAUUCCAAAGAGGACUGAAAAUGUCUUUAAAAUCAACACAACUCAGGGAGCCUGAGAGAACAAGUUUUCCUUUGUUGUAGGGUAUAGUAUUAUUUGCUGUAGGUUUUUUGAUAUACAUUCUAAAUUAGGCCUGCAAAGGCAUGCUUCAUCUUUAAUUCAUCACUCUCAGCUGAAAGAGAUUAGCAAUGUCUAGCACGCACCCCUCGUAUGGUGCUGACCUCAUCAAGUAUGGCCUGAAAUUAAUUAGCCUCAUUCAUACCAAAUGGAAAAGGAUAAUGGAGCAGCAUUUUAGAGAUGACCAUCACAAAUUGUAUGCGGCAUAUUUAAAAGGCCCCUAUUUUCAAACCAUGUAGAUUAAAAUUCUUUCCAGGGCUUACAAUAUGCCAGAGGUAUCAAAGACCCAGCGCACAGCCUGGUCAGGUUUCGUGUGUAUAUGUUUGUUUGUGCGCAUGCGUGUGCGAGCGUGCGUGCGUGCGUGCGUGCCGAGUUGUUUGUCGCCUGAAUCUUAGAGGCUGUGUACAGACGUGUUCGUAUUUAGCUGGCUUGCUAUUUAGGGUGACACUGGGAAUACUUCACCAACAAAAAUUAGAUGUUUGAUACCGUCUUAAAUAUGCGGUAAUAGAACACGUUAAGUGGACUUUUGUUGUUGUUAUUACCAUGAGUGGGCAUGCCGGCGCAAACUUGGCUGCUAUUUUCCAGUAAGAUGCUAUUCAUCCUCUAGUUUAGAAACAGAAGAGCCUCUUAAAGAAAUGCUCGACUUUUCUAUUUUGAGUUAUUUUUGAAACUUUGUAUGUCUUUUUCCCAGUCCCUACUGUUUGAUUAUAUUUUAAAAUAUGGUCGAGGACUAACUUGGAUUACAGAAUCACUUAAAUUUACCAUCUUUCUAAGAUUAGCUGAUUUUUCCCUUUAGGGGAUUGACUAAGGGAGGCCAGCUUUUUGAAUAUCAAAACUGCUUUCUUUUCUAGCCAAAAAAAUCUUGACCCUGGUUCUUUGGGAUUCUCAAAGAUGUAAAGUUUAUUUUUAUGAGCCCUCGUUUUGGCACUACAGAUUAGAAGAAGAAAAAAAAGGGGGAAAGGAACCACAGAGGUCAAACAGCAAGAAGAAAUGGGAGCCAUCUAUUCCUGGAGCCCAGGCCUGCCAAACGCAGAAGUGUGGUAAAGACAAGUCAUUAUUUUACUGAUAGCCGUAAAGCAUGUGUGUUCCGAGUUUUUUAAUUUGACUACUCUAAAUACCACAUUUAGACCAUCAAUUUGGAAAUAUCCACAGGCAGGGACUGAGCUCUUCUUUUUAAAGUUCUACAGUUUGGCUAGUCAUUUAGAUGAAAACAUGAUGGGUGCUGUGAUUGUGGAGUAUUAUGGAAAUCUUGGGGUUGAAAGGCAUUUUUUUACCCAGUAACCCAUUGUUCAUUUAGUGGAGGGCUGUCUUCUGAGGCAAUUCCCAUUUGAUGCCAUUCCAAUGCCUUCCCAUGUCAACACGUUUUUCUGGUAAAAACUGAUCAAAAACCAACUUUAUUUAAUUUUGGAUUUUUCUGACCCUGGUUCAUCUCAAUAAUUCACCAUUUUCUGCAGUGUCAGAGCUUCCUGACAUUUACAAUUAACUCACAAAUUAACUUAGAAAUGAUAGUAAGCUCUCAGCUAAAUGAUAUAGUGGCCACUGGGGACCAGACCAAUUUUCUAGAAUAAGGUUAGGACUAAGUUGCUCCGUAACAGUGUGAAGGUUGGUUGUGUAGAAGUAGUUAUUCAAGUGUGAGUAGGAAUCUGGGUGUGAGAAGGGAGACAUUAUCUGCCUCUAAUUCUGUUGGUUGCUCAGCCCUCUGAUACUUCUUCACCUAUAAAACAGGGAUAACCAGUUUUAAAAAUGUUUUGGAAUUCAAGGCUUCAUGAUGGAAUCAAGAAGUCAUGGAAUCUUGCCCUUGGAAGGAAACUUGGAGAACCUUGAUCCAACUUCAUAUUGAACUCAGAAUUCUAGAGAUGGGCAGAUAGGCAGACAGACACCAAUCCAGCAAUUUUGGGGAGUUGUAAAUUCAAGGCGGGUAACACAAAUGGGUGAAGGCUCCCAGUUUGGCCAGGGCCAAACACCUAGAGAGAUGGGAGAGGCAGGGCUCAUUCUCUCCAAGCCUGCCACUACAGCGAGUUUUGUUUUCAGAAAGUUUUAUUCCUCUAUGGGAGCAAAAUCCAUGUCUCUGGAGCAUCUUUCCAUUGGGUUAGAUUCUUUCUUCAGAAGCAAUACAACUGAACUUCAUCCCUUUCCCGUAGGACAGGCUUGCAAAUACUUGAAUAUAACUUUUGUUCUCCCCACCCCCUCAAGCUACCACUUUUGUUUUAUUGGCUACAUUCCCCGGAUCCCCACAGGACAUGGACUCAGAGGUUUUGUUUUUCUGAGUUGGCCGUGGUUGGCCUUGGUUUGCCAGUCUUUUAAGAAGUGUCCAGAAGCAAAUAAAAUACUCAGAAUUUGAGUGGCCAGCAGGGACAGUGCUGUCCACCAUGUCACGUGACUGCCUUUAAAAAGGCCCCUGAGUCAGGGAGGAGCCCCCAAACCGUGGAGUCAGAUCUCUAUCACCCAGUGCAUGUACAGAGGAUUUAUUGCAUUUAAGAAUGUCUCAUGUUUAUCCCCAUUAAAUUGCAUUUUGUUUUGGCUUUUUGGUAGCUUUUCAAGCCUGUCUCUCUUGUCUUUUGUUCCUUUAUAAAUUGACUAGCAUGGCUUUUACAGUUUUGCCCAAUGAUUGAUCUAAAUAUUGCAGAAGCAAGGGUUUCUGGGGUUUCUAGGGUCGUUGAUGUCGCUAGUAAUUAUGUUGAAAAUAGUUACAGGUUUAUUUCAUCCAUUAGCUCAUAAGCAGUGAUGAAUAGUAGGGUCUUGGGAACUAGAUUGCCUGGGUUCAAGUCCUGGGUCUGCUCAUAUACCAGGUGUGUGGCAUUGGGCAUGUUGAUUUCCCUGUGCCUCUAUUUCCCCAUCUGUAAAAUGGGGAUAAUAACGUAACUAUCACAUAUGAUUGUUUUGAUGAUUAAAUGAAUUAAUAGAUGUAAAGCAUUUAGACCAGAAACAGGCACAUAACAUGCACUAUUUGUUAUACAAAGGAAAUAAAUCAAGACAAGAUCCCUAAGGACAGGAACAGUAUCUCAUUUAUAUUUGUAUCUCCAGAGACUAGCAUUGUACCUGGAAUAUAUUUGGGACUGAUAUAUUGAGUACUUGAACGAAUGAGUUUCCAUAAUGUUCUAGACACUGAAUGCAAGCAGAUAAUAUGAUCAACGCUAUGGUUUCUAAUGCUAACAGAUUUUCAAUAUUAUUGUAAAAAAGGACUUGGUGGAAGGAAGAUGUGUAUGUUCAACCUCAGACCAUUGUCAUGGUGGUUAUUUUGUUGCUAAUUUUUCUGUGAAUGAUCAUCAGUGUCACCAGUGUCUUUAUUGAUUCUAAUCUAUAAUGCCUCCUCCUAGCGCUGAAGACCAGACCAGAAAGAUCACACACACAACUCAGAAAAAGAGAAAGGAUUCUGCUUCGUUUGCUUGCACCAAUCUGAGAGGGGACACUGUCUAUUUUUAGCAUGAAAAGGAACUUAAAGAACGCUAGUGGUCCUUUGUCAGAUCUUCAUGUUUUUUAAAUGUUUGUAGAUUCCCCGGCCAUUGGCAGACUCAUUCAAAAAAGACAUGCUAAAAAAAAUUAAAUGUUUUAAAUGUCA
Molecule: non-coding RNA, 12046 nt
Organism: Equus caballus (horse)
Lineage: Eukaryota; Metazoa; Chordata; Mammalia; Perissodactyla; Equidae
Source: RefSeq, a predicted model, not a curated record